Arvicola amphibius (Eurasian water vole) is the source of this 3980-nucleotide long non-coding RNA. RefSeq lists it as uncharacterized. The record is from RefSeq and is a predicted model, not a curated record. Lineage: Eukaryota; Metazoa; Chordata; Mammalia; Rodentia; Cricetidae. The transcript is spliced from 2 exons.
AGAGAGAGAGAGAGACUAGGCCUAUCUUGAGCAUUUGAAACCAAGAGUUCAUCCCCAGUGACACACUUUUUCCAACAAGGCCACACCUACUCGAGCAAGUUCACACCUCCUAACCCCUGUCAAGUAGUGCUACUCACUAAUGACCAAGCAUUCAAAUCUAUGAGCCUGUGGAGGCCAUUGCUCUUCAAACCACCAUAGGGCUCAUCACUGGAGGCUUAUUUCUCUUUCUCAGCAGUUACUAGUGACAUGGAACUCGUCAUCCUGGUGUAGGGCCUUGUGGAUUUCUCCCGUCCACAUUGACACAUUAACUGCUGUUGUUGGCCAGUCUUGUUUAAAGUGACCGUACUUUGAAGAUUUCAUAGGUGCAGCUUCCCUGUUAUGUACAGGAGACACUGUCUCACAGCUGAUGAGCCUACCAUCUUUCCACCCUGUCUUCCAUUAUUGGACCUCGGUGUUGGAGUCGUGACAUAGAUGUCUCUGUUGAGGGUUGGGCUCCCCAUAGUCAUAGUUCUCUGGUUUGGACCUGUAGUAGACUUUUGUAAUAAUCUCCAUGUGUUGCAGAAAGAAGCAUCUUUGUUGAGGACUGAGAGAUACUCUUACCUAUGGGUGGUAAGACAAGAGUGGAGAUUUCCAAGCCCCUUGCCUGCUGGACCAGAAAUCACUGGACUCAAAGCUUUGCAAGACAACGAGAAAGUCCUCUGAGAGCUGCACCCUGAUUCCUAAUCCCUCACCUUGCUAGCGACGCCUCCCUUCUCCUAGUUCAUCGGCUAACAUAAAUCAUAUGGCCAUGCUCGAUUUGUAAGAUCUAAGGAAAUAAAACCCUUCUUUGUUGGUGGAAGAAGAGAAGAACCAGAAUCAUCGUUAGAGAGGGUUAAUGAUGGAAACCAGAGUGCACUCUGUAAGAUGCUAUUUCUGACUCCAUGCCUCUCUCUCACUACCUCCUAUUUUCUCCUUCAGAUUUCCUAGAAUCAUAUUAGACCAUGCAUUGUUAACAUGCUCACUGUGCAGAAGCUCUGUUUGUUGUUUGUCCCUCCCCGCUCUACCAGUGUGAGCACCACAGGACUAGAAACCAUGUCUAUUCUGUUCUCACUUUAUCCCCAGAGUCCAGAUUAUUCCAGGGCUCUUAUUUGGCUAAUGAAUUAGGAGAUGUGUCUUUGUUUAAAUUCUGAGAACUCUGGAAAACAAAAUGGAAUUGUUGUUUGAACUUUUACUAUCAGUUGCACUGGGCUCAGAAGCAGUCUCCAGCAGAGAUGAAGCUGCACGAAGCUUGUGUAGACUUUGUCAGACUGGGCAAGUGCAGGCUUUGCCAUCAGACACCAAGGAAAGGAUGAAAAAGGCUCAGAAGUUAGUUCCCCAGGAACAUGGGGCUAGUUAAGGCAAGGGUAUACAUAGCCUGAGGGAAAAUGAGCUGGGAAAUGAGUUUUGGCUUUUAAACAACACAGGCAAACAGUGUCAAUAAUUUGAAAAACAGAACUCUUCCAUUCAAGAAUUGUCAUGUCAGGCUAUCUUUGAAGUCAAGGGUAUGCAGGUCUCAUUUCUUACUGAUGAGCAAAGAUGCAGGUACCUCUCGCAUAUGAAAUGCAGACACAUAGCUGGGAACACUCUCUUUCCAAGGAGGAGCGGAAGGUACUGGGGUGGUGGACGCUUGCUUCCUGCUGUUUCAAUGACAUGGUCGCCAUGCAUUUUGAGGCUUAUCAUUUUCUCUGUGCUUAAUGAGUGCAUUCAGGCAUGUAAUGAGGAACACCACCACCACACAAACAGUUCAUGGAAACCCAUAGAUAUGCCUGUUUUUAUCAAUUAUAUUAUUCAGUAGAGUAAAUUUGCAGUUUAUUUUAAAAAGCAGACAGAUUGACUGACAUCUGGAGUGCUGGCAUAUUGGCACUCAUGAUUCGACAGCUGUGGUAUAAUCUUAAAUUGCUGGGAUUUUGCUACACCAGGUAUAUAGUUUUACUGCUUGCAAAAGAAAAAAUGUUAGAGUCAUGUUGCUUCCUAUUACAAGUCUUCUGGUGGAAAAUUUAUAAUAAUCUUAAAGUAUUGGACAUUCAAAUCAUGACUUUCUACAGCAAAUGGCUUUCAUUUUAACCAGCACUGACCUCAGCAAAUGGGAAAGAUGUGGUCAAGAAUGUCUAAGUUCAUCCCAUUGUGGACUUGAACUCUGCCGGCUACUCAAGCAUUGACUGAUUGAAGUAUUUCACUGGUCUUUCCCCUAGUUCAUCAAGGUGACUUUUAGAGCUUACUGAGUAUGAUUAUAGAUAUCCUCCCUGAUCUGUACAUCUCUGGGAAAAGAGUUGGUCAACGUUCUUACUCCCAUUUUUAGAUGUGGUUCUGGGGAGUUGAGGUGAAGAAGACUGGGAUCUUGACUCUGAGCACAGAACUUCUUUUUCAUUAAGCAGCAAUGAAACCCAGCCUUCUGCUUCCUAACCUUCAACCCGAGGACCAACAUUUUAAGUUUUCCAGCUGAGCAAGGUUGUUGUAGGGAUGACAACUGAGAGUUGAGCUUUAAAUACUGUGAGUAGUAUAAGCCAUAAAAGCUCGCUUUUGUUAGCUCCAACUUUUCUUAGAAAUAAUAAUAUCAGUGGACAAGCCAUUCCCUGACUUUUUCAACAGAGAAUUUCCAACACUGUCACACAUGUACAGAGCUGUCUGUUAACAUGUGAAUGUCGAGGAAUGCAGUCCCUUAAAGGAAAUGAGGUUGGCCGUUUAGAAAUAUGGAACUACAGUUUGGCUCUCUCCACGCACCGUUAUUAAACUUAGUGUUUUAAAAUGACAUUUGUUGUUUUGCUUCAAUGACAUAUUUUUCUUUACUUGAUUAAGCUUUGAAAUGUGGAAAGGAAUAUAAUUUUCAAGACAAAAGCAUAGAACAAAUGGCAGCUCUAUAUUCCAAAAUAUGUUAUGAAUGAGGUCUAGUUUUUUUUUUAGAAAAGAAAAUAUAAACCCUACAUUAGAGAGAUUUUUAUUGCAGGACCUGCAAUCUAUAGCCUAAAUAAUCAAGGAAUUUUAGACAAGCAAAAAAAGUCAUGUGAUGGAUAUGCUCCAAUAAAACUAUUUGCUCACAGAAUUAUCAAUUUCAUAUCAUUGGCAAAUGUCAUGAAAUACUAUUAAUCCUUUACUUUUUCUACUCCAUUUGAAGAAGGAAAAAUUGUUUGCAUUUUCAGUUCUUAGCCCAUGGCUGGGAUCAGUGCUGCAUUGCAGGACAGUUGCUCAUUAGCACCAUUAUCCGUGCUCUUUGGGGCGAACAACCCUUGCACUGGAUAAUAAUUUGCAAGAAUGUCUUUCUUACAGCUUCAGUUUCUAGGUCUAAGAUCAGCAAAGGCAGUUCUGUGUAGCUAACUGAUCACCUGACUUAGGAAAAGCAGGAGUAUAUCCUCUCUGGGAAUUCAGGGAACUUGGCUUUGAACUCAAAGGAGGGACGUCGAUAAGCAUGAUUGGCAUAAAGCUUACAAAAUCAAGGCAAACACUUUCAGAUUUCCACAGGGCAAAGCCCCGUAGCAUUCUCAAUCUGGUAUUCAAUAAAUAUCUGUCGAGUGGCUUGCAAUUUCCACGAGGUUUCUAAGAUCUUGCUCAUUAUGUAGAAUUAACUGAACGUAGAUUGCAGUCUCUAUUUGGGAGACAAGGGGUUAAUGAACUGAGCUAUCUAGUACACUCUUUACUGAGGCUCAUGAAGGUUGAUUAAGAAAAACUUAAAUACUUAAAUGAUACUGAGGUUUUAGGAAAGUGUCAGGCGGGAGGGCAAGGUGUGAACAAUAUCCGAAUGAUUAGCCAUUAUGAACUUGAUAAUGCCCAUGACUAAGCUAAUCUAUGACUAUGAAUUGGAAAUCUACACACUCUGGUAGAUUCUUUCAGAUCGUCAGUGUGUAAUUUAAUCACAACGAGGCAGCUAAUUAUUGUUAUGUCCUAUUAUCGUCCUAUUAUCCUGGAAAUUCAUACAUAUUCUAAGCUCUGUUGUCACGCAAUCAAUACCAUGACAUGUUACUACUUAA